RNAcentral lists this long non-coding RNA (791 nucleotides) under Chinchilla lanigera (long-tailed chinchilla). Its description in RNAcentral is "lncRNA (ENSCLAG00000026292.1)". The record is from RNAcentral. Lineage: Eukaryota; Metazoa; Chordata; Mammalia; Rodentia; Chinchillidae.
UGCUCUCAGGACAAAGAACUGCACGCUGAGCGCCUCGUGUUGCGAUCCUGUUCUAGACGAGGCCACCCGCUCACCUCACAGACGACGUGGGUGGCUUCCCACACACAGUGGUGACUGCAGAUGGGGAUGGAGCACACCAAGGACCAGAGCCAGAGCUAAGGAGCUGACCUUGGACUCUGAGGCAAAGCUUCACCGUUUCUUGUAAGGCACUGAAAUGUGCACAUUGCAGUGUCACUCGUGUGGAGACAGAAUGUCCUUCUGUGAUUGGAGGUCUUUGUUCUGAAGAUUUCCAGCCGCUCCAUGAAGCGAAUGCCAUGGUGAUCUAUAGAAGACGUGCCCAGCGUGUGAUCAAACAUACAGUGAAUGCUGCUGCUGAACGCCAUCCAACAGAAAGGCGGGCUCAAGAAAACGGCAGCGCUUCCUCAGCCACCUCAUUCAAUGCUCUGGCAUCGGGCGACUUCUGGCUCCUUCCCAAAGAUAAACUGACCAUGAAAGGGCAACACCCUGAAUUGAUUCAGGACAUCAAGGCAGCCAGGACAGCACACACAAGACACUCAGGAAGGAGAACUUGCAGAGCAGCUGCAGACAGUGGGAAGGAGGAUGAUUGUGCUAGACACUGGAGAUGAAAGGCUGGCCACGCCUAGCUCCUGCUGUUGAGAAACUUCCAAGUCAUCGGUGGAAGGCCUACCAGAAAGAUAGACAAUUUUAAUCCAGCAGCAAUGCCACGGAAAAGCACAUGCAGGAGAGAGACUGGAGGUCAGGUGAAGUCACCCCUUCUAGGGGCCUUGGCA